This 498-nucleotide ribosomal RNA is filed under the name uncultured bacterium. RNAcentral's name for it is "partial 16S ribosomal RNA". It matches the Rfam family "Bacterial small subunit ribosomal RNA", at positions 28 to 523 of the family's 1533-position model. The record is from RNAcentral.
GAUGAACGCUAGCGGCAGGCCUAAUACAUGCAAGUCGAACGAUAGAAGAGAGCUUGCUCUCUUUGAAAGUGGCGCACGGGUGCGUAACGCGUAUGCAACCUACCUUAAUCAGGGGGAUAGCCCGAAGAAAUUCGGAUUAACACCGCAUAAAAUCACAGUACAGCAUUGUACAAUGAUCAAAUAUUUAUAGGAUUAAGAUGGGCAUGCGUGACAUUAGCUAGUUGGCGGGGUAACGGCCCACCAAGGCGACGAUGUCUAGGGGAUCUGAGAGGAUGACCCCCCACACUGGUACUGAGAAACGGACCAGACGCCUACUGGAGGCAGCAGUAAGGAAUAUUGGUCAAUGGAGGGAACUCUGAACCAGCCAUGCCGCGUGCAGGAAGACAGCCCUCUGGGUCGUAAACUGCUUUUAUUCGGGAAUAAACCUACUUACGUGUAAGUAGCUGAAUGUACCGAAGGAAUAAGGAUCGGCUAACUCCGUGCCAGCCGCCGCGGUAA